Non-coding RNA from Ceratotherium simum simum (southern white rhinoceros), 410 nucleotides. The record is from RefSeq and is a predicted model, not a curated record. Lineage: Eukaryota; Metazoa; Chordata; Mammalia; Perissodactyla; Rhinocerotidae.
AGCUCACACAAACCCUUGAAGACCACAGAAUGGUGAACCAAACAAGGUAUUUCUUCCUAAGUGCACGGCUGACAUGGAGGCCGGGACAGGAGAGAGAUGGAAAAUGCCCCAGGUUCCUGGGGCUUAGCUGCAAUUUCUUUUAGCCCGUCUCUCUCUGGGUGUCUGCUUAUGAUUGUCACGGCAAUUCUGGCCAGGGGAAUUCGCUCUGUCUCGCUGGAAUUUCCUGACUUCAAGUAGCCCCUUCCAAAUAAAUAAAUUAAUCAAUAAAAGCCAUCUGCCUCACCUUGCCAGCAGGCGCAGCGCUGGAAGGGGUGGUGUUGAACGCGAUUUUUAGGAGCAGUUGGCCCUUGAGACAUUUCGAGCAUGUGACCAGAAUGCUGCCAGCUAAUUUUAACCCCACCAAAGGACUG